AAGUUUCAACAACGGAUCUCUUGGCUCUCGCAUCGAUGAAGAACGCAGCGAAAUGCGAUAAGUAAUGUGAAUUGGAUAAUUCAAUGAAUCAUCAAAUCUUUGAACGCACCUUGCGCUCCUUGGUAUUCCUUGGAGCAUGCCUGUUUGAGUAUCAU
RNAcentral lists this ribosomal RNA (155 nucleotides) under Ceratobasidium sp. AG-P. RNAcentral describes it as "5.8S ribosomal RNA". It matches the Rfam family "5.8S ribosomal RNA". Rfam says of the family: 5.8S ribosomal RNA (5.8S rRNA) is a component of the large subunit of the eukaryotic ribosome. It is transcribed by RNA polymerase I as part of the 45S precursor that also contains 18S and 28S rRNA. Functionally, it is thought that 5.8S rRNA may be involved in ribosome translocation. Lineage: Eukaryota; Fungi; Basidiomycota; Agaricomycetes; Cantharellales; Ceratobasidiaceae. The record is from RNAcentral.